UUUGGGAUCUUUUUGGGGCUAAAAACAUAAAAUAAGUGUAAUAUGCACUUUUUAAAUGGUUACUGGCGUGGGGCAUGUAAAUUUUCAAUUUGUAGUUGCUGUAAAGUGUAAGGGUUGGAUAUUUUCGAUGCUGUAUUUUCUCUAUUACUUGCCUAUCAUAAAAUGAUAGUAUGGAUCCAAAGCUAUGAACUGAUAAAUUUGAUG
RNAcentral lists this long non-coding RNA (204 nucleotides) under Mytilus galloprovincialis (Mediterranean mussel). Lineage: Eukaryota; Metazoa; Mollusca; Bivalvia; Mytilida; Mytilidae. The record is from RNAcentral.